RNAcentral lists this ribosomal RNA (301 nucleotides) under uncultured bacterium. Its description in RNAcentral is "partial 16S ribosomal RNA". It matches the Rfam family "Bacterial small subunit ribosomal RNA", at positions 509 to 808 of the family's 1533-position model. The record is from RNAcentral.
CAGUAGCCGCGGUAAUACAGAGGGUGCGAGCGUUAAUCGGAUUUACUGGGCGUAAAGCGUGCGCAGGCGGUUAUAUAAGACAGAUGUGAAAUCCCCGGGCUCAACCUGGGAACUGCAUUUGUGACUGUAUAGCUAGAGUACGGCAGAGGGGGAUGGAAUUCCGCGUGUAGCAGUGAAAUGCGUAGAUAUGCGGAGGAACACCGAUGGCGAAGGCAAUCCCCUGGGCCUGUACUGACGCUCAUGCACGAAAGCGUGGGGAGCAAACAGGAUUAGAUACCGCGUAGUCCCUGUCUCUUAUACA